GACGAACGCUGGCGGCGUGCUUAACACAUGCAAGUCGAACGGAAAGGCCCUGCUUGUGUGGGGUGCUCGAGUGGCGAACGGGUGAGUAACACGUGAGUAACCUGCCCUUGACUUUGGGAUAACUUCAGGAAACUGGGGCUAAUACCGUAUAGGAGCUCCUGCUGCAUGGUGGGGGUUGGAAAGUUUCGGCGGUUGGGGAUGGACUCGCGGCUUAUCAGCUUGUUGGUGGGGUAGUGGCUUACCAAGGCUUUGACGGGUAGCCGGCCUGAGAGGGUGACCGGCCACAUUGGGACUGAGAUACGGCCCAGACUCCUACGAGAGGCAGCAGUGGGGAAUAUUGCACAAUGGGCGGAAGCCUGAUGCAGCAACGCCGCGUGCGGGAUGACGGCCUUCGGGUUGUAAACCGCUUUCGCCUGUGACGAAGCGUGAGUGACGGUAAUGGGUAAAGAAGCACCGGCUAACUACGUG
RNAcentral lists this ribosomal RNA (468 nucleotides) under uncultured bacterium. RNAcentral's name for it is "partial 16S ribosomal RNA". It matches the Rfam family "Bacterial small subunit ribosomal RNA", at positions 28 to 507 of the family's 1533-position model. The record is from RNAcentral.